AACGAACGCUGGCGGCAGGCCUAACACAUGCAAGUCGAGCGAGACCUUCGGGUCUAGCGGCGGACGGGUGAGUAACGCGUGGGAACGUGCCCUUUUCUGCGGAAUAGCCUCGGGAAACUGAGCGUAAUACCGCAUACGCCCUUUGGGGGAAAGAUUUAUCGGAAAAGGAUCGGCCCGCGUUGGAUUAGGUAGUUGGUGGGGUAAUGGCCUACCAAGCCUACGAUCCAUAGCUGGUUUGAGAGGAUGAUCAGCCACACUGGGACUGAGACACGGCCCAGACUCCUACGGGAGGCAGCAGUGGGGAAUCUUAGACAAUGGGGGCAACCCUGAUCGAGCCAUGCCGCGUGAGUGAUGAAGGCCUUAGGGUUGUAAAGCUCUUUCAGCUGGGAAGAUAAUGACGGUACCAGCAGAAGAAGCCCCGGCUAACUCCGUG
Molecule: ribosomal RNA, 433 nt
Filed under: uncultured bacterium
Lineage: Bacteria
Description: partial 16S ribosomal RNA
Rfam family: Bacterial small subunit ribosomal RNA
Source: RNAcentral